Molecule: ribosomal RNA, 500 nt
Filed under: uncultured bacterium
Lineage: Bacteria
Description: bacterial SSU rRNA
Rfam family: Bacterial small subunit ribosomal RNA
Source: RNAcentral
UCAGGAUGAACGCUAGCGACAGGCCUAACACAUGCAAGUCAGGGGCAGCACAAGGAGCAAUCUGAGGUGGCGACCGGCGCACGGGUGAGUAACACGUAUGCAACCUGCCUGUAAGCGGGGAAUAACCCGUUGAAAGACGGACUAAUACCGCAUAAUACUAAAUUACUGCAUGGUAAUUUAUUUAAACAUUUAUGGCUUACAGAUGGGCAUGCGCAUGAUUAGCUAGUUGGAGAGGUAACGGCUCCCCAAGGCAACGAUCAUUAGGGGUUCUGAGAGGAAGGUCCCCCCACACUGGUACUGAGACACGGACCAGACUCCUACGGGAGGCAGCAGUGGGGAAUAUUGGUCAAUGGACGAGAGUCUGAACCAGCCAAGUCGCGUGCAGGAAGAAUGUCCCUAUGGAUUGUAAACUGCUUUUGCAGGGGAAUAAAGUGCAUCACGUGUGAUGUUUUGUAUGUACUCUGCGAAUAAGGAUCGGCUAACUCCGUGCCAGCCGCCGC